GAUGAACGCUGGCGGCGUGCCUAACACAUGCAAGUCGAACGGGGUUAUUUUGGAAAAGUCCUUCGGGACUGGAAUCUUUAACCUAGUGGCGGACGGGUGAGUAACGCGUGAGCAAUCUGCCUCGGAGUGGGGGAUAACAGCCGGAAACGGCUGCUAAUACCGCAUAAUGUAUAGAAGCCGCAUGGCUUAUAUACCAAAGGCUUGCUGCUCUGAGAUGAGCUCGCGUCUGAUUUAGCUAGUUGGUGAGGUAACGGCUCACCAAGGCGACGAUCAGUAGCCGGACUGAGAGGUUGAACGGCCACAUUGGGGACUGAGACACGGCCCAGACACCUACGGGAGGCAG
This 343-nucleotide ribosomal RNA is filed under the name uncultured Bacillota bacterium. RNAcentral's name for it is "bacterial SSU rRNA". It matches the Rfam family "Bacterial small subunit ribosomal RNA", at positions 28 to 351 of the family's 1533-position model. The record is from RNAcentral. Lineage: Bacteria; Bacillati; Bacillota.